CCUACGGGAGGCAGCAGUGGGGAAUUGUUCGCAAUGGGCGCAAGCCUGACGACGCAACGCCGCGUGGAGGAUGAAGACCUUCGGGUCGUAAACUCCUUUCGAUCGAGACGAAUGUUUUCCGGGUGAACAAUCCGGAAAAGUGACGGUACCGAGAGAAGAAGCCCCGGCUAACUCUGUGCCAGCAGCCGCGGUAAUACAGGGGGGGCAAGCGUUGUUCGGAAUUACUGGGCGUAAAGGGCUUGUAGGUGGCCAACUAAGUCAGACGUGAAAUCCCUCAGCUUAACUGGGGAACUGCGUCUGAUACUGGAUGGCUUGAGUUUGGGAGAGGGAUGCGGAAUUCCAGGUGUAGCGGUGAAAUGCGUAGAUAUCUGGAGGAACACCGGUGGCGAAGGCGGCAUCCUGGACCAACACUGACACUGAGGAGCGAAAGCCAGGGGAGCAAACGGGAUUAGAUACCCCGGUAGUCCUGGCCCUAAACGAUAGAAUGCUUGGUGUGGCGGUAUCGAUCCUGCCGUGCCGAAGCUAACGCAUUAAGCAUUCCGCCGUGGGGAGGUACGGUCGCGAGGAACGUGUAAACGUUAAAGGUUAAAGUUAGUUACGGACGUGAGACGNGCGACGGACGACGACGAGGGAGGAGG
This 638-nucleotide ribosomal RNA is filed under the name uncultured bacterium. RNAcentral describes it as "bacterial SSU rRNA". The stretch from base 1 to 544 matches the Rfam family "Bacterial small subunit ribosomal RNA", at positions 338 to 873 of the family's 1533-position model. The record is from RNAcentral.